RNAcentral lists this ribosomal RNA (450 nucleotides) under uncultured bacterium. RNAcentral describes it as "bacterial SSU rRNA". It matches the Rfam family "Bacterial small subunit ribosomal RNA", at positions 955 to 1387 of the family's 1533-position model. The record is from RNAcentral.
AUUAACGCGAAAAACCCUUACCUAUCCUUGACAUGCCGAGAAUCCUGAAGAGAUUUGGGAGCUGCCCGAAAGGGAACUUUGGACACAGGUGCUGCAUGGCUGUCGUCAGCUCGUGUCGUGAGAUGUUGGGUUAAGUCCCGCAACGAGCGCAACCCUUGUCCAUUAAAUUGCCAUCAUUCAGUUGGGCACUUUAAUGAAGACUGCCGGUGAUAAACCGGAGGAAGGUGGGGAUGACGUCAAGUCCUCAUGGCCCUUAUGGGUAGGGCUUCACACGUAAUACAAUGGUCGGUACAGAGGGUUGCCAACCCGCGAGGGGGAGCCCAAUCUCAGAAAAGUCCGAUCGUAGUCCGGAUUGUUCUCUGCAACUCGAGAGCAUGAAGUCGGAAUCGCUAGUAAUCGCGGAUCAGCAUGUCGCGGUGAAUACGUUCCCGGGUCUUGUACACACGCAAU